Molecule: ribosomal RNA, 497 nt
Filed under: uncultured bacterium
Lineage: Bacteria
Description: partial 16S ribosomal RNA
Rfam family: Bacterial small subunit ribosomal RNA
Source: RNAcentral
GAUGAACGCUGGCGGCGUGCCUAAUACAUGCAAGUCGAGCGAACAGACGAGGAGCUUGCUCCUCUGACGUUAGCGGCGGACGGGUGAGUAACACGUGGAUAACCUACCUAUAAGACUGGGAUAACUUCGGGAAACCGGAGCUAAUACCGGAUAAUAUAUUGAACCGCAUGGUUCAAUAGUGAAAGACGGUUUUGCUGUCACUUAUAGAUGGAUCCGCGCCGCAUUAGCUAGUUGGUAAGGUAACGGCUUACCAAGGCAACGAUGCGUAGCCGACCUGAGAGGGUGAUCGGACACACUGGAACUGAGACACGGUCCAGACUCCUACGGGAGGCAGCAGUAGGGAAUCUUCCGCAAUGGGCGAAAGCCUGAAGGAGCAACGCCGCGUGAGUGAUGAAGGUCUUCGGAUCGUAAAACUCUGUUAUUAGGGAAGAACAAAUGUGUAAGUAACUAUGCACGUCUUGACGGUACCUAAUCAGAAAGCCACGGCUAACUACGUG